Molecule: long non-coding RNA, 634 nt
Filed under: Medicago truncatula (barrel medic)
Lineage: Eukaryota; Viridiplantae; Streptophyta; Magnoliopsida; Fabales; Fabaceae
Description: long non-coding RNA (MTRU_LNC007208)
Source: RNAcentral
ACUUGAAGAUUGAAGCAAUUAGGAGCUAAAGUGAAGCCUAAGUUAAGAUUAAACAUCAUCUAAGGUAAGGGGGUUAGUUAUUAUCACAAUCAUGUAAUUUUGCAUUUGCUCAUGUUGUAUGAAAAUGGGUUGAUGAACAAUUCAUGUCAAAUUCGUGCUUUUGCUGUGAUGUUAUGUUUGUAUGCAUGAAUUGAUGAUAAUUGUAUGAUUGUUGGUGAAAUUACAUGUUCAAAUAUGUAAAAAUGAUAAGUUGUGAAAAUGGUGCUCAAUUGGUGAAUUUUGCUAAGUUAUUGUUAAUUUGAGAUUUGAUUCUUGCUCAAAUGAUGUUAUGGUUGUUAAUUGAUGUUGUAGUUGAUGAAUCAUUGCUUGGGUAUGCAUAUUCAUGAAUUGAUUAUGAGAAUUUGAAUUGUUGUUGGUGUUUUAUGUAAAUGGGUUGAUUUGGUGAAUUGGCUAAAAGUGAGAUUGAUUUUCAUUUUCAAUGUGUUUUUGAGUAUCCUUGUGAGUUAUAUGACCUAUAAACAUUCUUUGGAAACAUGUUUGGGCAUUGGGAGAUCAAAAUUGGGAGUUUUGGGUGAAAAAUGGGUGAAACCCGUAACUUUUGUUAUGCAGAAUUUUGAAUGGUCGCUUAAGCGAC